Molecule: ribosomal RNA, 654 nt
Filed under: Flavobacterium johnsoniae
Lineage: Bacteria; Pseudomonadati; Bacteroidota; Flavobacteriia; Flavobacteriales; Flavobacteriaceae
Description: bacterial SSU rRNA
Rfam family: Bacterial small subunit ribosomal RNA
Source: RNAcentral
UCGAGGGGUAUUGGUUUUCGGACCAAGAGACCGGCGCACGGGUGCGUAACGCGUAUGCAAUCUACCUUUUACAGAGGGAUAGCCCAGAGAAAUUUGGAUUAAUACCUCAUAGUAUUAUGAAAUGGCAUCAUUUUAUAAUUAAAGUCACAACGGUAAAAGAUGAGCAUGCGUCCCAUUAGCUAGUUGGUAAGGUAACGGCUUACCAAGGCUACGAUGGGUAGGGGUCCUGAGAGGGAGAUCCCCCACACUGGUACUGAGACACGGACCAGACUCCUACGGGAGGCAGCAGUGAGGAAUAUUGGACAAUGGGCGCAAGCCUGAUCCAGCCAUGCCGCGUGCAGGAUGACGGUCCUAUGGAUUGUAAACUGCUUUUAUACAGGAAGAAACACUGGUUCGUGAACCAGCUUGACGGUACUGUAAGAAUAAGGAUCGGCUAACUCCGUGCCAGCAGCCGCGGUAAUACGGAGGAUCCAAGCGUUAUCCGGAAUCAUUGGGUUUAAAGGGUCCGUAGGCGGUUUAAUAAGUCAGUGGUGAAAGCCCAUCGCUCAACGGUGGAACGGCCAUUGAUACUGUUAAACUUGAAUUAUUAGGAAGUAACUAGAAUAUGUAGUGUAGCGGUGAAAUGCUUAGAGAUUACAUGGAAUACCAAUUGCG